AGCGCGGACUUCGGUCUGGCGGCGAGUGGCGAACGGCCUGAAUAAUACAUCGGAACGUGCCCUGGUUGUGGGGGAUAACUAGUCGAAAGAUUAGCUAAUACCGCAUACGACCUGAGGGUGAAAGCGGGGGACCGUAAGGCCUCGCGCAAUAGGAGCGGCCGAUGUCUGAUUAGCUAGUUGGUGGGGUAAAGGCCCACCAAGGCGACGAUCAGUAGCUGGUCUGAGAGGACGAUCAGCCACACUGGGACUGAGACACGGCCCAGACUCCUACGGGAGGCAGCAGUGGGGAAUUUUGGACAAUGGGGGCAACCCUGAUCCAGCAAUGCCGCGUGUGUGAAGAAGGCCUUCGGGUUGUAAAGCACUUUUGUCCGGAAAGAAAUCGCUCUGGCUAAUACCUGGGGUGGAUGACGGUACCGGAAGAAUAAGCACCGGCUAACUACGUGCCAGCAGCCGCGGUAAUACGUAGGGUGCGAGCGUUAAUCGGAAUUACUGGGCGUAAAGCGUGCGCAGGCGGUUUUGUAAGACAGGCGUGAAAUCCCCG
Molecule: ribosomal RNA, 541 nt
Filed under: Ralstonia sp. MBCC40258
Lineage: Bacteria; Pseudomonadati; Pseudomonadota; Betaproteobacteria; Burkholderiales; Burkholderiaceae
Description: bacterial SSU rRNA
Rfam family: Bacterial small subunit ribosomal RNA
Source: RNAcentral